AGAGUUUGAUCCUGGSUCAGGACGAACGCUGGCGGCGUGCCUAACACAUGCAAGUCGAACGGAAGUUAGAUGUUAGACUUUAGGGCUUAGAUAUUAGACGAACGAAGGGAAGGUUUAACGCAAAAACCCUUCGCAAAAUCUAAACAAGAUUUAGAAAGCAGAAGAGCGCAACUCAUUUGGCAUCUAAGCACUAAGCACUAAGCACUAAAGUCUAAUGUCUAACUUUAGUGGCGGACGGGUGAGUAACACGUGAGCAACCUGCCUUUCGGAGGGGGAUACCGUCUGGAAACGGACGUUAAUACCGCAUAACAUAGUAUUAUCGCAUGGUAAUAUUAUCAAAGGAGCAAUCCGCUGAGAGAUGGGCUCGCGUCUGAUUAGCUAGUUGGUGGGGUAACGGCUCACCAAGGCGACGAUCAGUAGCCGGACUGAGAGGUUGAACGGCCACAUUGGGACUGAGACACGGCCCAGACUCCUACGGGAGGCAGCAGUGGGGAAUAUUGCACAAUGGGGGAAACCCUGAUGCAGCAACGCCGCGUGUGGGAAGAAGGUCUUCGGAUUGUAAACCAUUGUCAUCGGUGAAGAUAAUGACGGUAGCCGAUGAAGAAGCUCCGGCUAACU
RNAcentral lists this ribosomal RNA (618 nucleotides) under uncultured bacterium. RNAcentral describes it as "bacterial SSU rRNA". It matches the Rfam family "Bacterial small subunit ribosomal RNA", at positions 8 to 502 of the family's 1533-position model. The record is from RNAcentral.